Molecule: long non-coding RNA, 154 nt
Organism: Amphimedon queenslandica
Lineage: Eukaryota; Metazoa; Porifera; Demospongiae; Haplosclerida; Niphatidae
Exons: 2
Source: RefSeq, a predicted model, not a curated record
UUUAGAUUCUUCAAAAAAUAAAGUCAACUAAAACAGAAUCUGAUUCCAAGGCCCCAAGACUUCAGAUUAACUUUAUAUAUAACCUUUAAUUGUGUCAUAAUAAAUAUUAAAUGAUUUGAAAUAGAAAUUCCUUGAUAACAUUAGAUAUCUUUCA